UAAUUAUACACUAAAACAUUUUUGGGAGUGUUUUUGGGCAUUCAGUUCCGGCACGAAAAAUGAUGCAAAACGGGUGCAUUUCGGCACCCGAAUGCACUAUUUCCGGGUAGCGAAACUCGGGUGGAUUUUUCCGCAACGAACGCAUCGAAUCUUCCUAAUUAUACACUAAAACAUGUUUGGGAGUGUUUUUGGGCAUUCGGUUCCGGCACGAAAAAUGAUGCGAAACGGGUGCAUUUCGACACCCGAAUGCACUAUUUUCGGGUAGCGAAACUUGGGUGGAUUUUUUCGCAACGAACGCAUGCAAUCUUCGUAAUUAGACCCUAGAACAUGUUUGGGAGUGUUUUUGAGCAUUCGGUUCCGGAACGAAAAAUGAUGCAAAACGGGUGCAUUUCGGCACCCGAAUGCACUUUUUCCGUGUAGCGAAAAUCGGGUGGAUUUUUUCGCAACGAACGCAUGCAAUCUUCCUAAUUAUACCCUAGAACAUGUUUGGGAGUGUUUUUGAGCAUUCAGUUCCGGAACGAAAAAUGAUGCAAAACGGGUGCAUUUCGGCACCCGAAUGCAUAUUGCCGGGUAGCGAAACUCGGGUGGAUUUUUUCGCAACGAACGCAUGCAAUCUUCGUAAUUAUACCCUAGAACAUGUUUGGGAGUGUUUUUGAGCAUUCGGUUCCGGAACGAAAAAUGAUGCAAAACGGGUGCAUUUCGGCACCCGAAUGCUAUAUUUCCGGGUAGCGAAACUCGGGUGGAUUUUUCCACAACGAAUGCAUCCAAUCUUCCUAAUUAUACACUAAAACAUUUUUGGGAGUGUUUUUGGGCAUUCAGUUCCGGCACGAAAAAUGAUGCAAAACGGGUGCAUUUCGGCACCCGAAUGCACUAUUUCCGGGUAGCGAAACUCGGGUGGAUUUUUUCGCAACGAACGCAUGCAAUCUUCGUAAUUAUACCCUAGAAAAUGUUUGGGAGUGUUUUUGAGCAUUCGGUUCCGGAACGAAAAAUGAUGCAAAACGGGUGCAUUUCGGCACCCGAAUGCACUAUUUCUGGGUAGCGAAACUCGUGUGGAUUUUUUCGCAACGAACGCAUGCAAUCUUCCUAAUUAUACCCUAGAACAUGUUUGGAAAUGUUUUUGAGCAUUCGGUUCCGGCACGAAAAACGAUGCAAAACGGGUGCAAUACGGCACCCGAAUGCUAUAUUUCCGGGUAGCGAAAGUCGGGUGGAUUUUUUCGCAACGAACGCAUGCAAUCUUCCUAAUUAUACCCUAGAACAUGUUUGGGAGUGUUUUUGGGCAUUCGGUCUCGGCACGAAAAAUGAUGCAAAACGGGUGCAUUUCGACAUCCGAAUGCACUAUUUCCGGGUAGCGAAACUCGGGUGGAUUUUUUCGCAACGAACGCACCCAAUCUACCUCAUUAGACCCUAGAACUUGUUUGGGAUUGUUUUCGAGCAUUCAGUUCCGUCACGAAAAAUGAUGCAAAACGAGUGGAUUUCGGCACCCGAAUGCACUAUUUGCGGGUAGCGAAACUCGGGUGGAUUUUUUCGCAACGAACGCAUGCAAUCUUCCUAAUUAUACCCUAGAACAUGUUUGGGAGUGUUUUUGAGCAUUCGGUUCCGGAACGAAAAAUGAUGCAAAACGGGUGCAUUUCGGCACCCGAAUGCAUAUUGCUGGGUAGCGAAAGUCGGGUGGAUUUUUUCGCAACGAACGCAUGCAAUCUUCCUAAUUAUACCCUAGAACAUGUUUGGGAGUGUUUUUGAGCAUUCGGUUCCGGAACGAAAAAUGAUGCAAAACGGGUGCAUUUCGGCACCCGAAUGCAUUAUUUCCGGGUAACGAAACUCGGGUGGAUUUUUUCGCAACGAACGCAUGCAAUCUUCCUAAUUAUACCCUAGAACAUGUUUGGAAAUGUUUUUGAGCAUUCGGUUCCGGCACAAAAAACGAUGCAAAACCGGUGCAAUACGGCACCCGAAUGCUAUAGUUCCGGGUAACGAAAGUCGGGUAGAUUUUUUCGCAACGAACGCAUGGAAUCUUCCUAAUUAUACCCUAGAACAUGUUCAGAAGUGGUUCCGAGCAUUCGGUUCCGUCACGAAAAAUGAUGCAAAAACAGUGGAUUUUGGCACCCAAAUCCACUAUUUCCAGGUAGCGAAACUCGUGUUCAUUUUCUCGCAACGAACGCAUCCAAUCUACCUCAUUAGACCGUAGAACAUGUUUGGAAGUGUCUUCGAGCAUUCGGUUUCGGCACGAAAAAUGAUGCAAAACGAGUGGAUUUCGGCACCCGAAUGCACUAUUUCCGGGUAGCGAAACUCGGGUGGAUUUUUUCGCAACGAACGCAUGCAAUCUUCGUAAUUAUACCCUAGAACAUGUUUGGGAGUGUUUUUGAGCAUUCGGUUCCGGCACGAAAAAUGAUGCAAAACGGGUGCAUUUCGGCACCCGAAUGCUAUAUUUCCGGGUAGCGAAACUCGGGUGGAUUUUUCCACAACGAAUGCAUCCAAUCUUCCUAAUUAUACACUAAAACAUUUUUGGGAGUGUUUUUGGGCAUUCAGUUCCGGCACGAAAAAUGAUGCAAAACGGGUGCAUUUCGGCACCCGAAUGCACUAUUUCCGGGUAGCGAAACUCGGGUGGAUUUUUUCGCAACGAACGCAUGCAAUCUUCGUAAUUAUACCCUAGAAAAUGUUUGGGAGUGUUUUUGAGCAUUCGGUUCCGGAACGAAAAAUGAUGCAAAACGGGUGCAUUUCGGCACCCGAAUGCACUAUUUCUGGGUAGCGAAACUCGUGUGGAUUUUUUCGCAACGAACGCAUGCAAUCUUCCUAAUUAUACCCUAGAACAUGUUUGGAAAUGUUUUUGAGCAUUCGGUUCCGGCACGAAAAACGAUGCAAAACGGGUGCAAUACGGCACCCGAAUGCUAUAUUUCCGGGUAGCGAAAGUCGGGUGGAUUUUUUCGCAACGAACGCAUGCAAUCUUCCUAAUUAUACCCUAGAACAUGUUUGGGAGUGUUUUUGGGCAUUCGGUCUCGGCACGAAAAAUGAUGCAAAACGGGUGCAUUUCGACAUCCGAAUGCACUAUUUCCGGGUAGCGAAACUCGGGUGGAUUUUUUCGCAACGAACGCACCCAAUCUACCUCAUUAGACCCUAGAACUUGUUUGGGAUUGUUUUCGAGCAUUCAGUUCCGUCACGAAAAAUGAUGCAAAACGAGUGGAUUUCGGCACCCGAAUGCACUAUUUGCGGGUAGCGAAACUCGGGUGGAUUUUUUCGCAACGAACGCAUGCAAUCUUCGUAAUUAUACCCUAGAAAAUGUUUGGGAGUGUUUUUGAGCAUUCGGUUCCGGAACGAAAAAUGAUGCAAAACGGGUGCAUUUCGGCACCCGAAUGCAUUAUUUCCGGGUAACGAAACUCGGGUGGAUUUUUUCGCAACGAACGCAUGCAAUCUUCCUAAUUAUACCCUAGAACAUGUUUGGAAAUGUUUUUUAGGAUUCGGUUCCGGCACAAAAAACGAUGCAAAACCGGUGCAAUACGGCACCCGAAUGCUAUAGUUCCGGGUAACAAAAGUCGGGUAGAUUUUUUCGCAACGAACGCAUGGAAUCUUCCUAAUUAUACCCUAGAACAUGUUCAGAAGUGUUUCCGAGCAUUCGGUUCCGUCACGAAAAAUGAUGCAAAAACAGUGGAUUUUGGCACCCAAAUCCACUAUUUCCAGGUAGCGAAACUCGUGUUCAUUUUCUCGCAACGAACGCAUCCAAUCUACCUCAUUAGACCGUAGAACAUGUUUGGAAGUGUCUUCGAGCAUUCGGUUUCGGCACGAAAAAUGAUGCAAAACGAGUGGAUUUCGGCACCCGAAUGCACUAUUUCCGGGUAGCGAAACUCGGGUGGAUUUUUUCGCAACGAACGCAUGCAAUCUUCGUAAUUAUACCCUAGAACAUGUUUGGGAGUGUUUUUGAGCAUUCGGUUCCGGCACGAAAAAUGAUGCAAAACGGGUGCAUUUCGGCACCCGAAUGCUAUAUUUCCGGGUAGCGAAACUCGGGUGGAUUUUUCCACAACGAAUGCAUCCAAUCUUCCUAAUUAUACACUAAAACAUUUUGGGAGUGUUUUUGGGCAUUCAGUUCUGGCACGAAAAAUGAUGCAAAACGGGUGCAUUUCGGCACCCGAAUGCACUAUUUCCGGGUAGCGAAACUCGGGUGGAUUUUUCCGCAACGAACGCAUCCAAUCUUCCUAAUUAUACACUAAAACAUGUUUGGGAGUGUUUUUGGGCAUUCGGUUCCGGCACGAAAAAUGAUGCAAAACGGGUGCAUUUCGACACCCGAAUGCACUAUUUUCGGGUAGCGAAACUCGGGUGGAUUUUUUCGCAACGAACGCAUGCAAUCUUCGUAAUUAGACCCUAGAACAUGUUUGGGAGUGUUUUUGAGCAUUCGGUUCCGGAACGAAAAAUGAUGCAAAACGGGUGCAUUUCGGCACCCGAAUGCACUUUUUCCGUGUAGCGAAAAUCGGGUGGAUUUUUUCGCAACGAACGCAUGCAAUCUUCCUAAUUAUACCCUAGAACAUGUUUGGGA
RNAcentral lists this long non-coding RNA (4519 nucleotides) under Setaria viridis. RNAcentral describes it as "long non-coding RNA (SVIR_LNC005614)". Lineage: Eukaryota; Viridiplantae; Streptophyta; Magnoliopsida; Poales; Poaceae. The record is from RNAcentral.